RNAcentral lists this long non-coding RNA (263 nucleotides) under Ananas comosus (pineapple). Its description in RNAcentral is "long non-coding RNA (ACOM_LNC009006)". The record is from RNAcentral. Lineage: Eukaryota; Viridiplantae; Streptophyta; Magnoliopsida; Poales; Bromeliaceae.
CCACGUGCUCGUACUCAGCAACUAACCAGUUAUUCCCACAACAGUGAUUCCACUUUCAUUGUUCGAUCUACCGGAACAACAUCCGAAACAUUCGGACUGCUCGAGUGUUCACAAGCGUCAUGGCUCAACUCUCGCAAUCAACUACUCACAUUGUUUUGAGAGUCAGUCCGCCAUUUCCACCUUCAUCACGAGUUUUAUACUCCGACUAUUACCAACAAUUCGCUGGCACCAUCUAGCUCUCCACCUGCUUCAACAGGUGAUAC